UACGUAGGUGGCGAGCGUUGUCCGGAUUUAUUGGGCGUAAAGGGAACGCAGGCGGUCUUUUAAGUCUGAUGUGAAAGCCUUCGGCUUAACCGAAGUAGUGCAUUGGAAACUGGAAGGCUUGAGUGCAGAAGAGGAGAGUGGAACUCCAUGUGUAGCGGUGAAAUGCGUAGAUAUAUGGAAGAACACCAGUGGCGAAAGCGGCUCUCUGGUCUGUAACUGACGCUGAGGUUCGAAAGCGUGGGUAGCAAACAGG
This 253-nucleotide ribosomal RNA is filed under the name Ligilactobacillus ruminis. RNAcentral describes it as "partial 16S ribosomal RNA". It matches the Rfam family "Bacterial small subunit ribosomal RNA", at positions 524 to 776 of the family's 1533-position model. Lineage: Bacteria; Bacillati; Bacillota; Bacilli; Lactobacillales; Lactobacillaceae. The record is from RNAcentral.